GACGAACGCUGGCGGCGUGCUUAACACAUGCAAGUCGAACGGAAAGGCCCUGCUUUUGUGGGGUGCUCGAGUGGCGAACGGGUGAGUAACACGUGAGUAACCUGCCCUUGACUUUGGGAUAACUUCAGGAAACUGGGGCUAAUACCGGAUAGGAGCUCCUGCUGCAUGGUGGGGGUUGGAAAGUUUCGGCGGGUGGGGAUGGACUCGCGGCUUAUCAGCUUGUUGGUGGGGUAGUGGCUUACCAAGGCUUUGACGGGUGGCCGGCCUGAGAGGGUGACCGGCCACAUUGGGACUGAGAUACGGCCCAGACUCCUACGGGAGGCAGCAGUGGGGAAUAUUGCACAAUGGGCGGAAGCCUGAUGCAGCAACGCCGCGUGCGGGAUGACGGCCUUCGGGUUGUAAACCGCUUUCGCCUGUGACGAAGCGUGAGUGACGGUAAUGGGUAAAGAAGCACCGGCUAACUACGUG
Molecule: ribosomal RNA, 468 nt
Filed under: uncultured bacterium
Lineage: Bacteria
Description: partial 16S ribosomal RNA
Rfam family: Bacterial small subunit ribosomal RNA
Source: RNAcentral